GUAAAAUUAAGGCUGCCAAGGACCAAAUUGAGGACAUUAUUCAAUUGGUUGGGUCAUAGUGAAAUGAAGGGAGACUUGGGGGGUCAAAGUGUAAAGUUCAGAAUUUAUUUCAUGCAUGCAUACGAAUGGCUUCCUUCAUUUCUGGUUGCUGGAUUUCAACAUGCAAAUAUGUUCACCAUAUGCCAGGAUUUUGACUAUCAAUCACCAACUAAACUUGUAACUUCAUUGUAGGAUUGAAACAAGAAAAUGGAGCUAAUCAUCAAAGGUAGAAAGAAAACUAAACAGCAAAAGAAGGAAGAAGAUUGCUGCGACUGAAGGCUUC
Molecule: long non-coding RNA, 322 nt
Filed under: Coffea arabica (coffee)
Lineage: Eukaryota; Viridiplantae; Streptophyta; Magnoliopsida; Gentianales; Rubiaceae
Description: long non-coding RNA (CARA_LNC007197)
Source: RNAcentral